UACGUAGGGGGCUAGCGUUGUCCGGAAUCAUUGGGCGUAAAGCGCGUGUAGGCGGUCCGGUAAGUCCGCUGUGAAAGUCGGGGGCUCAACCCUCGAAUGCCGGUGGAUACUGUCGGGCUAGAGUGCGGAAGAGGCGAGUGGAAUUCCUGGUGUAGCGGUGAAAUGCGCAGAUAUCGGGAGGAACACCAAUUGCGAAGGCAGCUCGCUGGGACGGUACUGACGCUGAGGCGCGAAAGCGUGGGGAGCAAACAGG
Molecule: ribosomal RNA, 253 nt
Filed under: uncultured bacterium
Lineage: Bacteria
Description: partial 16S ribosomal RNA
Rfam family: Bacterial small subunit ribosomal RNA
Source: RNAcentral